RNAcentral lists this long non-coding RNA (2178 nucleotides) under Mytilus galloprovincialis (Mediterranean mussel). The record is from RNAcentral. Lineage: Eukaryota; Metazoa; Mollusca; Bivalvia; Mytilida; Mytilidae.
UGUAUCACACAUCAUAUUUAAGAAAAAUAUCAACAUACUAGUUUUGUUCAAAUAGAAUUCUUUUCAAUAAUUGACAUAUUUAAGUAAACUAUAUUAAAUUUGUCCAUAAACUCUUAUUCUGUUGCUGGUGAAUUGUGAUAGAUAAAACAACGAAAAAAACGUCUAAUGGUCCUGAAAGGAACUUCUUCCUAUAAUCACUAUAUACAUGAUAUAUAUAUAUAUUUAUUUUGAUCUAUUUUCCCAAUACUAAAUCUUAAAAUUCCAAAAUGAGGCUUUCCCUUAACGUGAAGUGACACUUUUAAUAAUUAUUCUGCAGUUAUCAUAUUUAUAUAGAAUGAUAAAGGAAUGUCUGUUGAUAGAAAAUUGUUUCUAUGGUUAUCCAGAAAUAGAGUUAAGUGUUCUACUUUGAUAGAAAAUUAUCCCAACUGAUGUGAAUAAAGAAUGUCUGCUUUUGAAUGGAUGAUAUUUGUAGUUUGCACUGUAAGCCACUAGUCAGAUUUACUAUGAUAGGUAUGUAAUAUUGCAAUUGAACAUCGGAAAAUAUGACAGUAUUGUAGAUCAAGAAAUUAGUGUGAGAAUUUACCCUUUAUGCAUAUUGAAAAAUCAUAAAAUGUCAAGAUUAAUUAUUGCAAUUUUCUGGCACAAUUUUUUCAAUCCAAAAUCUAAUCUCAUAUUUGUUAUAUCUCUGUUCCAGUUUAAAAAGGGAUCUGAAUGAGUUAUCAAUAGAAGACAGAUAAUUGCUUUUAUUUAAAACAAACUAAAAAAACAAAUUCAAACUGACUUGAAAAAAAUAGCAACAUUUUUUGUUUUACGGGAAAAAAUCCAUGUAACAAAACAAUGUUAUAAAGAAAAUGAAAGACAAAAAAAAUAUAUUUGUGAAAAAAUUAUGGUUAUGAAUAUGAUAAUGACUGAUACGAUGUUUGAGUAAUAUAUACAUGUAGACAAAUACUUAUUAACAAAAAGUAUACAUCUUUACAACACGUGCAAUAAUAUACAUAUAUAAUGUGUGACCUCUCUAUAUCAAAAUAUCUCCUAUUCUAUAUUAAGCACCAACAUUUGCAUGAAAGCUUGAAAAAUGAGACAUUUGUAUUUUUUCAACAUGAUCAUGAAAAUUGUCAAAAACAAUUUGUUCAGUUGACGAAAAGAAUUAAAUAUGUUACCAUCUAUAUAAUUUUGUUCUCUUUUUUCUCUUCUUAAAAAAACCUAACCAAAGACAUGGAUAAAUUAAUAGUCCUUUAAAAUUUCUUAAAUUUCCUCAUAUAGCCUUAUAAAAACAAACAUGAUAAUGCCAUAUCUGAGACCAUUCAAUAUCUUUCAUUUUAAACUAUUAAAAGAUACUUUGGAAAGUCAUUGUCAUCAAAUGGCAAGUUUUUACACUAGGCACCAUAAUUUUUGUGUCAACUUGUUUAGCACUUGAAAAAAAAUAUACAGAUUCAUUUUUAUAUUUACAUACAGUAAUAAAAUUAUACCAACAACCUUUUAGAAAUCAUAAUGGUCACAUAUAAAAGAUCAUACAAUAAAAAUAAAAUAAAAUACAUGAUUCAAUAUUUUAUACCAUAAUAUUUCCUUUUUCUUUCUUUUAUUUCAAUUUUUUGACAUAUAUCAUCAAUAAUUUCUGUUUCAGUAUCUAUUUAUCUAGAAACUAUCAAAAAAGAAUGCACCAAAAUAUGUUGCAUAUUGGUUUGGACUAUUCCAUUUAAAAGGAUGGGGAGGGUAGGAAGUGACUUUUAAAAAACCCUCUACAACAUGCCUUGAGUCACUUUAGCACACAUUUAAUGGACAUUCAUCCAUAUAAGACCCAAACCCAAUGUCAAAAAUAAAACUUCUGGUAAGAAUUUUUCUGGAAAAAAGAUGCUACCAAUAUUUUCUAAGAUUCGAAAAGAGAAAAAAACUUUUGUUUUUAAAAGGAAUGUUUUUUAUUGAUUUAAAGUCUGAUCUUUUAUUUGUGACCAAAACCACAAUCAAUGCUGUCUUGUAAGUACAUCAGAAAAUAACAACCUAUUUAAAAAAUAAUGUCAAGAAUCCUGCAGAAAAAUUCUGCAAAUGCCUUCAAUGAACAAAUUACAGAUUAAGAAUUAUUCUGUCCAUGGAAAGAAAAAAACAUGACUAUAAAAAGAUAGUUUUAAUCAAUUAGUUUUCAAUAAUUUAAUAUUUUUUAAAAUUUAAAUUUUUAGUAGA